CGCAAGCCUGACGGAGCAAGACCGCGUGCGGGAUGACGGCCUAAUGGUUGUAAACCGCUUUUCUCUGGGAAGAUGAUGACGGUACCAGAGGAAUCAGCCUCGGCUAACUCCGUGCCAGCAGCCGCGGUAAUACGGAGGAGGCAAGCGUUAUCCGGAAUUAUUGGGCGUAAAGCGUUCGUAGGUGGUUAUUCAAGUCUGCUGUCAAAGCGUGGGGCUUAACUCCAUAGAGGCAGUGGAAACUGGAUGACUUGAGUGCGGUAGGGGUCGAGGGAAUUCCCAGUGUAGCGGUGAAAUGCGUAGAUAUUGGGAAGAACACCAGUGGCGAAAGCGCUCGACUGGGCCUGCACUGACACUGAGGGACGAAAGCUAGGGGAGCG
This 377-nucleotide ribosomal RNA is filed under the name uncultured cyanobacterium. RNAcentral describes it as "bacterial SSU rRNA". It matches the Rfam family "Bacterial small subunit ribosomal RNA", at positions 376 to 770 of the family's 1533-position model. Lineage: Bacteria; Bacillati; Cyanobacteriota. The record is from RNAcentral.